GGUCGGAAUUGCUAGUAAUCGCAGAUCAGCAUGCUGCGGUGAAUACGUUCCCGGGCCUUGUACACACCGCCCGUCACACCAUGAGAGUCGAUAACACCCGAAGCCUGUAGUCUAACCAUAAGGAGGACGCAGUCGAAGGUGGGAUUGAUAAUUAGGGUGAAGUCGUAACAAGGUAAC
RNAcentral lists this ribosomal RNA (177 nucleotides) under uncultured bacterium. RNAcentral describes it as "partial 16S ribosomal RNA". It matches the Rfam family "Bacterial small subunit ribosomal RNA", at positions 1324 to 1500 of the family's 1533-position model. The record is from RNAcentral.